UCCGGUUUCUGCCGAUCGAGCGGCUACUCCGGGUAAGUGGGUGACAUUACUCUACCAUAUGGGCCUCUCAUGGGCCUCGUCCUCUAAAGUUCCCACGCUUGGCCAAUUUCCUUCAUUCGUACACACACCACAGGCCACCCUGUUCUCCUCUCCUUCACGCACGACACCACCGUCUCCUCCUUGCCGCUAUUGUCCUGCACAGCCACUGUUCCCACGGACCAGGUGAGCUGCACAACAAUAUGGAGAGAUCUGGAUGGAAUCGCGAGCUAGGAAGGUGCAAAGUGGAGUUGCUAUUGUGUAAGGCCACUCGAGCGCUCUUGAAGGAUCAAGCGGAAGAGAAUUGAGCUGCUCGACCAGAGGCUACUAUAUUUCUAGAUCGUGCGACUAUAACCGCUCAAGCGGUACUUGACGGGCAGUCUUCCGAGUUUGACUAAAAGUAAGUUUCUUUUGACUCCUAGGUUUAGUAUAAAAGGGAGGCUAUGCCUUUAGGGUAAGAAAAAAAAUAACAAUUUUUCCGUGGUUUCCAAGCAACGGAGCAACUCUUCUCCAAGGCUUUGUAAGGAAGUGAGAUUGGAGGCGUGCUAUCAACCGGAGUUUCAUCAAUUCAAGGGGUUUUCAUUCAUCUCUCUAUUUAUGUUAUCUUUUCCUAGAAUUGAUUGGAUUACUCAAAGAAUGAAUUGUAACUAAACUCUUUUGCUAGGGCUAUGAUGUAGCCUAGCUUUUCUCGAUUGAAGUCAACGUUUCUAUAAAUUCCUGAAAAUUAUUCAUU
Tripterygium wilfordii is the source of this 769-nucleotide long non-coding RNA. RefSeq lists it as uncharacterized. The record is from RefSeq and is a predicted model, not a curated record. NCBI's taxonomy places the organism in Eukaryota, Viridiplantae, Streptophyta, Magnoliopsida, Celastrales, Celastraceae. The transcript is spliced from 2 exons.